RNAcentral lists this transfer RNA (71 nucleotides) under Chloroparvula pacifica. RNAcentral's name for it is "tRNA-Gly". It matches the Rfam family "tRNA". From Rfam's summary of the family: Transfer RNA (tRNA) molecules are approximately 80 nucleotides in length. Their secondary structure includes four short double-helical elements and three loops (D, anti-codon, and T loops). Lineage: Eukaryota; Viridiplantae; Chlorophyta; Chloropicophyceae; Chloropicales; Chloropicaceae. The record is from RNAcentral.
GCGAAUAUAGAUCAAUGGUAGAUUAUCUGCCUUCCAAGCAGAGGAUAGGGGUUCGAUCCCCCUUAUUCGCA